AGAGGUGGCGAACGUUGUUCGGAUUUACUGGGCGUAAAGGGUCCGCAGGCGGAUCGGUAUGUCAGAUGUGAAAGCCCACAGCUUAACUGUGGAAUUGCAUUUGAAACUGCCGGUCUAGAGUACUGGAGGGGAGAAGGGAACACUUGGUGUAGCGGUGAAAUGCGUAGAUAUCAAGUGGAACACCGGAGGCGAAGGCGCUUCUCUGGACAGAUACUGACGCUCAUGGACGAAAGUUAGGGGUAGCGAAAGGGAUUAGAUACCCCUGUAGUCCUAACCGUAAACGGUGUGCACUAGACGUGAAAGGCUUUACCCCCCUUCCGUGUCUGAGCUAACGCAUUAAGUGCACCGCCUGGGGAGUACGGUCGCAAGAUUA
This 373-nucleotide ribosomal RNA is filed under the name uncultured organism. RNAcentral describes it as "partial 16S ribosomal RNA". It matches the Rfam family "Bacterial small subunit ribosomal RNA", at positions 527 to 896 of the family's 1533-position model. The record is from RNAcentral.